AAGCACAAGAGCGUUCCUGUCUGAAACGAGGAUGAUCAGCCACCUCCUCUAUGAAAGCUGCUCUUUAAUAACCCUCAGCUGCCUCGCUUCAUUAAAAAAGAUCUCUGCCUCUCAAUUUGGUUCGCCUGCUAUCAUGUUGCUGAUUCUGUGAUUGUCAGAUUAAGAAAAAUGGGAAAAUCUAACAGCAGAUAAUGCCACAAAUGAAUGGUAUGCAUACAAUAAUAGAUAAGUACACACCAUGAAUUAAAGAGGAAAUGGAUACAUGUAGCAAAGGAAACAGUGAUCCUUUGAAAAUUGAAGAUAAGAGCUUAAUUACUUAUAUAGAAAACUACAGGAAGAUGUGACCUGAAUUUGAUUGAAGAGAAGUAAACGUCGUGGUCAAAUCCUUGGGUACUAGGCCAACAUUUU
This is a long non-coding RNA of Panthera uncia (snow leopard), 408 nucleotides long. RefSeq lists it as uncharacterized. The transcript is spliced from 2 exons. Lineage: Eukaryota; Metazoa; Chordata; Mammalia; Carnivora; Felidae. The record is from RefSeq and is a predicted model, not a curated record.